Molecule: ribosomal RNA, 492 nt
Filed under: uncultured bacterium
Lineage: Bacteria
Description: partial 16S ribosomal RNA
Rfam family: Bacterial small subunit ribosomal RNA
Source: RNAcentral
AGUGAACGCUGGCGGUAGGCCUAACACAUGCAAGUCGAACGGCAGCACAGUAAGAGCUUGCUCUUACGGGUGGCGAGUGGCGGACGGGUGAGGAAUACAUCGGAAUCUACUUUUUCGUGGGGGAUAACGUAGGGAAACUUACGCUAAUACCGCGUACGACCUACGGGUGAAAGCAGGGGAUCUUCGGACCUUGCGCGAUUGAAUGAGCCGAUGUCGGAUUAGCUAGUUGGCGGGGUAAAGGCCCACCAAGGCGACGAUCCGUAGCUGGUCUGAGGGGAUGAUAAGCCACACUGGAACUGAGACACGGUCCAGACUCCUACGGGAGGCAGCAGUGGGGAAUAUUGGACAAUGGGCGCAAGCCUGAUCCAGCCAUACCGCGUGGGUGAAGAAGGCCUUCGGGUUGUAAAGCCCUUUUGUUGGGAAAGAAAAGCAGCAGGUUAAUACCCCGCUGUUCUGACGGUACCCAAAGAAUAAGCACCGGCUAACUUAGUG